This 303-nucleotide ribosomal RNA is filed under the name uncultured bacterium. Its description in RNAcentral is "partial 16S ribosomal RNA". It matches the Rfam family "Bacterial small subunit ribosomal RNA", at positions 507 to 807 of the family's 1533-position model. The record is from RNAcentral.
AGCAGUCGCCACGGUAAUACAGAGGGUGCAAGCGUUAAUCGGAGUUACUGGGCGUAAAGGACGCGUAGGCGGUUAUAUAAGUGAGAUGUGAAAUCCCUGGGCUUAACCUAGGAACUGCAUCUUAUACUGUAUGGCUAGAGUAUUGUAGAGGGUAGUGGAAUUUCCGGUGUAGCGGUGAAAUGCGUAGAUAUCGGAAGGAACACCAGUGGCGAAGGCGGCUACCUGGACUGACACUGACACUGAGGCGCGAAAGCGUGGGGAGCAAACAGGAUUAGAUACCCGCGUAGUCCCUGUCUCUUAUAC